UACGAAGGGGGCUAGCGUUGCUCGGAAUCACUGGGCGUAAAGCGCACGUAGGCGGCUUCUUAAGUCAGGGGUGAAAUCCUGGAGCUCAACUCCGGAACUGCCUUUAAGACUGCAUCGCUUGAAUCAUGGAGAGGUCAGUGGAAUUCCGAGUGUAGAGGUGAAAUUCGUAGAUAUUCGGAAGAACACCAGUGGCGAAGGCGACUGACUGGACAUGUAUUGACGCUGAGGUGCGAAAGCGUGGGGAGCAAACAGG
This 253-nucleotide ribosomal RNA is filed under the name uncultured bacterium. RNAcentral describes it as "partial 16S ribosomal RNA". It matches the Rfam family "Bacterial small subunit ribosomal RNA", at positions 524 to 776 of the family's 1533-position model. The record is from RNAcentral.